CGAGGGAACCUUACCCGGGCUUUGAGCUGCCAAGCGAAACGAUUUCAGAGAUGAUGAGGUCCCUUCGGGAACGCUGGUGGAGGUGCUGCAUGGUUGUCGUCAGCUUCGUGCCGUGAGGUGUCGGCUUAAGUGCCAUAACGAAGCGCAACCCUUUUCUUUAGUUGCCAUCAGGUAAUGCUGGGCACUCUGGAGAUACUGCCACCGUAAGGUGUGAGGAAGGUGGGGAUGACGUCAAAUCAGCACGGCCCUUACGUCCGGGGCUACACACGUGUUACAAUGGGGGGUACAGAGAGUCGGAUAUACGCAAGUAUGUUCUAAUCCUUAAAGCCUUCCUCAGUUCGGAUUGGGGUCUGCAACCCGACCCCAUGAAGCUGGAUUCGCUAGUAAUCGCGCAUCAGCCAUGGCGCGGUGAAUACGUUCCCGGGCCUUGUACACACCGCCCGUCAAGCCAUGAAAGCCGGGGGCGC
This 467-nucleotide ribosomal RNA is filed under the name uncultured bacterium. RNAcentral's name for it is "bacterial SSU rRNA". It matches the Rfam family "Bacterial small subunit ribosomal RNA", at positions 961 to 1420 of the family's 1533-position model. The record is from RNAcentral.